Molecule: ribosomal RNA, 429 nt
Filed under: Chloroflexota bacterium
Lineage: Bacteria; Bacillati; Chloroflexota
Description: Chloroflexi bacterium partial 16S ribosomal RNA
Rfam family: Bacterial small subunit ribosomal RNA
Source: RNAcentral
UGGGGAAUAUUGCACAAUGGGCGCAAGCCUGAUGCAGCCAUGCCGCGUGUAUGAAGAAGGCCUUCGGGUUGUAAAGUACUUUCAGCGGGGAGGAAGGGAGUAAAGUUAAUACCUUUGCUCAUUGACGUUACCCGCAGAAGAAGCACCGGCUAACUCCGUGCCAGCAGCCGCGGUAAUACGGAGGGUGCAAGCGUUAAUCGGAAUUACUGGGCGUAAAGCGCACGCAGGCGGUUUGUUAAGUCAGAUGUGAAAUCCCCGGGCUCAACAUGGGAACUGCAUCUGAUACUGGCAAGCUUGAGUCUCGUAGAGGGGGGUAGAAUUCCAGGUGUAGCGGUGAAAUGCGUAGAGAUCUGGAGGAAUACCGGUGGCGAAGGCGGCCCCCUGGACGAAGACUGACGCUCAGGUGCGAAAGCGUGGGGAGCAAACAGG